Molecule: ribosomal RNA, 253 nt
Filed under: uncultured bacterium
Lineage: Bacteria
Description: partial 16S ribosomal RNA
Rfam family: Bacterial small subunit ribosomal RNA
Source: RNAcentral
UACAGAGGGUGCGAGCGUUAAUCGGAAUUACUGGGCGUAAAGCGCACGUAGGCGGCUUGGUAUGUCGGGUGUGAAAUCCCCGGGCUCAACCUGGGAACUGCAUCCGAAACUGCCUUGCUCGAGUAUGGGAGAGGGAAGUGGAAUUUCCGGUGUAGCGGUGAAAUGCGUAGGUAUCGGGAGGAACACCAGUGGCGAAAGCGGCUACCUGGCCCAUUCUUGACGCUGAGGCGCGAAAGCUAGGGGAGCAAACGGG